RNAcentral lists this ribosomal RNA (933 nucleotides) under Triticum aestivum (bread wheat). RNAcentral describes it as "partial small subunit ribosomal RNA". The record is from RNAcentral. Lineage: Eukaryota; Viridiplantae; Streptophyta; Magnoliopsida; Poales; Poaceae.
AUGGACAACUUGUGGCAUCUCGGAGAUGAGUUCCGUGGGCAAUCAAAGGUGGUGGAGGACCGCCAAUGGUCUCUCAUGACAUCAAAGCUUGCUGAGAUCACAAAGUCAAAGGCUGAGAGGAUGAAUGACUUUGAGUAUGCACGGAUGAACACCGUCCCUGAUGUCAAGCAAUGGGAUAAGCUAUCCUACCACCAAGAAGACAACAAGAUGGACCACCUCAAUCUUGGCCUGAUGAACCUGGAUCUUAAGAUGAAUGAUCUCAAGAUGAACGAGGCUGCCAUGAAGUACCCUUUCCGCAACAUGGCCUAUAACAUGAAUCCGAUGUACCCCAAGGGAAACAACGGUAAUGUCAAUUCGUUCAAGAUGAAUGUUGGGGUCAACAAAUAUCCCAAUAAUCAGAAUGGGAAGGAAACAAACGGCAAACACAAUGGUGGUAACAACAACAAUGGAGGCAACAGCAACAACAACUCUGUUGACAAGCGCUUCAAAACAUUGCCAACAAGCGAGAUGCUACCGAGGAAUGAAGUUCUUGGUGGAUACAUCUUUGUCUGCAACAAUGAUACCAUGCAGGAGGAUCUCAAGAGACAGCUUUUUGGCUUGCCAGCAAGAUAUCGUGAUUCAGUCCGAGCCAUCACUCCUGGUCUACCUCUUUUCCUCUACAACUACACGACCCAUCAGCUACAUGGGGUGUUUGAGGCUGCCAGUUUUGGAGGAUCAAACAUUGAUCCCACUGCUUGGGAAGAUAAGAAGUGCAAAGGUGAAUCCAGAUUCCCAGCACAGGUGAGGAUCCGCAUUAGAAGGCUUUGCAAGGCCUUGGAAGAGGAUGCUUUCAGGCCAGUGCUGCACCACUAUGAUGGUCCUAAAUUCCGCCUGGAGCUCUCCAUAGCAGAGACACUGUCACUGCUAGACCUGUGCAAGACAGAAGACGCCUGA